RNAcentral lists this ribosomal RNA (254 nucleotides) under uncultured bacterium. RNAcentral describes it as "partial 16S ribosomal RNA". It matches the Rfam family "Bacterial small subunit ribosomal RNA", at positions 524 to 776 of the family's 1533-position model. The record is from RNAcentral.
UACGUAGGGACCAAGCGUUGUUCGGAUUUACUGGGCGUAAAGGGCGCGUAGGCGGUCAGCACAAGUCAGUUGUGAAAUCUCCGGGCUUAACUCGGAAAGGUCAACUGAUACUGUGCGACUAGAGUGCAGAAGGGGCAACUGGAAUUCUCGGUGUAGCGGUGAAAUGCGUAGAUAUCGAGAGGAACACCUGCGGCGAAGGCGGGUUGCUGGGCUGACACUGACGCUGAUGCGCGAAAGCCAGGGGAGCGAACGUG